UCCUUCCUGGUGUAGUGGUUAAUGCCUUUGAUUCUGCUGGCGAAAAGUCAAGAGGUCUGGUGUUCGAAUCCCUUGGGUGGAU
This is a non-coding RNA of Mycena olivaceomarginata, 82 nucleotides long. The record is from the annotation of a GenBank genome assembly. NCBI's taxonomy places the organism in Eukaryota, Fungi, Basidiomycota, Agaricomycetes, Agaricales, Mycenaceae.